This 253-nucleotide ribosomal RNA is filed under the name uncultured bacterium. RNAcentral describes it as "partial 16S ribosomal RNA". It matches the Rfam family "Bacterial small subunit ribosomal RNA", at positions 524 to 776 of the family's 1533-position model. The record is from RNAcentral.
UACGGAGGAUGCGAGCGUUAUCCGGAUUUAUUGGGUUUAAAGGGUGCGUAGGCGGGCUUAUAAGUCAGCUGUGAAAGUUUGCGGCUCAACCGUAAAAUUGCAGUUGAUACUGUAAGCCUUGAGUGCAUGUGAGGUGGGCGGAAUUCGUGGUGUAGCGGUGAAAUGCUUAGAUAUCGUAAGGAAGACCAGUGGCGAAGGCGAGUCUCUGGACAGUUACUGACACUGAGGCACGAAGGCCAGGGGAGCAAACGGG